CCACGUCGGCGAGUGGCGCGGCACCGAGCGCUCCACGACGGUGAGGCCAAGACCGAGGCAGGCAAGCGAGGCGAUGAUGCCCGCCAGGCUCGAGAGGUAGAGCGGCCUCCGGCCGAUGCGGUCCACCAGCAGGAUGGCUGUCAUGAUGAACACCGUCUUGGUGACGCCCACGCCGAUGGUCGCUGCAAGGAUCUCGCUGCGGGUGGCGAUGCCGGCUGCCUUAAAGAUGCGUGGGCUGUAGAGGACCACGGCUUCGAUUCCCGUGAGAUGCUGGAAGAAGUGGACUCCGAAGGCAGCGACGAGGAUACGCCGGACGGGGGGCGUCGGGUGCAGGAACAUCUCCUUCCACACGCCCUUG
This 358-nucleotide unclassified non-coding RNA is filed under the name Zea mays. Its description in RNAcentral is "misc RNA Zm00001eb027560". Lineage: Eukaryota; Viridiplantae; Streptophyta; Magnoliopsida; Poales; Poaceae. The record is from RNAcentral.